Molecule: ribosomal RNA, 107 nt
Filed under: Pteropus alecto (black flying fox)
Lineage: Eukaryota; Metazoa; Chordata; Mammalia; Chiroptera; Pteropodidae
Source: RNAcentral
AUUCAUGUCCAUGGCCCUGAACAAGCCUGAUCUCAGAAGCUAAGCAUGGUUGGGCCUGGUUAGUACUUGGAUGGGAGACCACCUAGGAAGAUCAGGUGCUGUAGGCA